This 275-nucleotide ribosomal RNA is filed under the name uncultured bacterium. RNAcentral describes it as "partial 16S ribosomal RNA". It matches the Rfam family "Bacterial small subunit ribosomal RNA", at positions 523 to 796 of the family's 1533-position model. The record is from RNAcentral.
AUACGUAGGGAGCAAGCGUUGUCCGGAAUUAUUGGGCGUAAAGAGCUCGUAGGCGGUUCGGUAAGUCGGGUGUGAAAAUCCAGGGCUCAACCCUGGGACGCCACCCGAUACUGCUGUGACUAGAGUCCGGUAGAGGAGCGUGGAAUUCCUGGUGUAGCGGUGAAAUGCGCAGAUAUCAGGAGGAACACCAGCGGCGAAGGCGGCGCUCUGGGCCGGUACUGACGCUGAGGAGCGAAAGCAUGGGGAGCAAACAGGAUUAGAAACCCCGGUAGUCC